This 253-nucleotide ribosomal RNA is filed under the name uncultured bacterium. RNAcentral's name for it is "partial 16S ribosomal RNA". It matches the Rfam family "Bacterial small subunit ribosomal RNA", at positions 524 to 776 of the family's 1533-position model. The record is from RNAcentral.
UACGUAGGGACCAAGCGUUGUUCGGAUUUACUGGGCGUAAAGGGCGCGUAGGCGGCUUGUCAAGUCACUUGUGAAAUCCCUGGGCUUAACCCAGAACGGCCAAGUGAAACUGACAUGCUAGAGUGCAGAAGGGGCAAUCGGAAUUCUUGGUGUAGCGGUGAAAUGCGUAGAUAUCAAGAGGAACACCUGAGGUGAAGACGGGUUGCUGGGCUGACACUGACGCUGAGGCGCGAAAGCCAGGGGAGCAAACGGG